ACGACGACUCUCGGCAACGGAUAUCUCGGCUCUCGCAUCGAURAARAACGUAGCGAAAUGCGAUACUUGGUGUGAAUUGCAGAAUCCCGUGAACCAUCGAGUCUUUGAACGCAAGUUGCGCCCGAAGCCAUAAGGCUGCGGGCACGUCUGCCUGGGCGUAACGC
RNAcentral lists this ribosomal RNA (164 nucleotides) under Loxocarpus incanus. RNAcentral describes it as "5.8S ribosomal RNA". It matches the Rfam family "5.8S ribosomal RNA". From Rfam's summary of the family: 5.8S ribosomal RNA (5.8S rRNA) is a component of the large subunit of the eukaryotic ribosome. It is transcribed by RNA polymerase I as part of the 45S precursor that also contains 18S and 28S rRNA. Functionally, it is thought that 5.8S rRNA may be involved in ribosome translocation. Lineage: Eukaryota; Viridiplantae; Streptophyta; Magnoliopsida; Lamiales; Gesneriaceae. The record is from RNAcentral.